ACUAAGCGUACACGGUGGAUGCCCUGGCAGUCAGAGGCGAUGAAGGACGUGCUAAUCUGCGAUAAGCGUCGGUAAGGUGAUAUGAACCGUUAUAACCGGCGAUUUCCGAAUGGGGAAACCCAGUGUGAUUCGUCACACUAUCAUUAACUGAAUCCAUAGGUUAAUGAGGCGAACCGGGGGAACUGAAACAUCUAAGUACCCCGAGGAAAAGAAAUCAACCGAGAUUCCCCCAGUAGCGGCGAGCGAACGGGGAGCAGCCCAGAGCCUGAAUCAGUGUGUGUGUUAGUGGAAGCGUCUGGAAAGGCG
RNAcentral lists this ribosomal RNA (306 nucleotides) under Escherichia coli. Its description in RNAcentral is "partial 23S ribosomal RNA". It matches the Rfam family "Bacterial large subunit ribosomal RNA", at positions 10 to 352 of the family's 2925-position model. The record is from RNAcentral. Lineage: Bacteria; Pseudomonadati; Pseudomonadota; Gammaproteobacteria; Enterobacterales; Enterobacteriaceae.